Molecule: ribosomal RNA, 492 nt
Filed under: uncultured bacterium
Lineage: Bacteria
Description: partial 16S ribosomal RNA
Rfam family: Bacterial small subunit ribosomal RNA
Source: RNAcentral
AGUGAACGCUGGCGGUAGGCCUAACACAUGCGAGUCGAACGGCAGCACAGUAAGAGCUUGCUCUUACGGGUGGCGAGUGGCGGACGGGUGAGGAAUACAUCGGAAUCUACUUUUUCGUGGGGGAUAACGUAGGGAAACUUACGCUAAUACCGCAUACGACCUACGGGUGAAAGCAGGGGAUCUUCGGACCUUGCGCGAUUGAAUGAGCCGAUGUCGGAUUAGCUAGUUGGCGGGGUAAAGGCCCACCAAGGCGACGAUCCGUAGCUGGUCUGAGAGGAUGAUCAGCGACACUGGAACUGAGACACGGUCCAGGCUCCUACGGGAGGCAGCAGUGGGGAAUAUUGGACAAUGGGCGCAAGCCUGAUCCAGCCAUACCGCGUGGGUGAAGAAGGCCUUCGGGUUGUAAAGCCCUUUUGUUGGGAAAGAAAAGCAGCAGGUUAAUACCCCGCUGUUCUGACGGUACCCAAAGAAUAAGCACCGGCUAACUUCGUG